AUUGAACGCUGGCGGCAGGCCUAACACAUGCAAGUCGAACGGUAACAGGAAGCAGCUUGCUGCUUUGCUGACGAGAGGCGGACGGGUGAGUAAUGUCUGGGAAACCGCCUGAUGGAGGGGGAUAACUACUGGAAACGGUAGCUAAUACCGCAUAACGUCGCAAGACCAAAGAGGGGGACCUUCGGGCCUCUUGCCAUCGGAUGUGCCCAGAUGGGAUUAGCUAGUAGGUGGGGUAACGGCUCACCUAGGCGACGAUCCCUAGCUGGUCUGAGAGGAUGACCAGCCACACUGGAACUGAGACACGGUCCAGACUCCUACGGGAGGCAGCAGUGGGGAAUAUUGCACAAUGGGCGCAAGCCUGAUGCAGCCAUGCCGCGUGUAUGAAGAAGGCCUUCGGGUUGUAAAGUACUUUCAGCGGGGAGGAAGGGAGUAAAGUUAAUACCUUUGCUCAUUGACGUUACCCGCAGAAGAAGCACCGGCUAACUCCGUG
This 490-nucleotide ribosomal RNA is filed under the name uncultured bacterium. RNAcentral describes it as "partial 16S ribosomal RNA". It matches the Rfam family "Bacterial small subunit ribosomal RNA", at positions 30 to 507 of the family's 1533-position model. The record is from RNAcentral.